GGAGCCUGCCCGAAACAAGCCCACUGGAAACAAACAAGAACCAUUUGAUCUUCUUGCUCCCAAGGGCCAAUCCCACCCGAAACCUAUCAUCUUCUUCCAGAGCUCCGCUUUCUCUUUCUAGCGGAUCCCGUCUCCUCCCCAGUUUGACUUGCGCCACCUCCCUCGAUCCACCGUCAUCGUCAUCCCCUCCUAGGCAUCGAGCUCGAACCAGGUCAGUCCCCGCAAACCCUAACUCCCUCCUGAUUUCGUGAAUGAAAGCGGGUCCAUCGUGCGUCGCCAACCGCUGUGUCAGGUAGCGGGUUCUGAAUUGUGGGUCUUUCGAAGUUUCGCUUUUCUGAUAGCAAAUUGUGGGUUUAUCGCUAAUGGGUGCGGGUUUGCUGUUCGAUGUGAAGCGAAUUCCGUGGUGGCUGCGGUGAUAGCUCCUUCUCCGCCGUCAAGGUCCCCAUCUCCCUCUCUACUGUACUUUCGUUUCGCGCUGGUCUAGGGUAUCGCUGGAUCAAUGCUACUACUGGAAUAUGAACUUUGAGUGAGGUCCAAGGCUCAUAAAGCUGUUUACAAUCAGACUCUUGUGACGAUAGUGGUGGAGUAUGCAUCUGUAGUUUACACGUCAGAUUUGACAAAACUUUUUAGUUGGACAUGUCCUAGUUGUGAUGGAAAGACCAAGGGGUUCUAAGUCAUUGAUCUGAUAGUUUGACGUCCAGCACUGCUUAUAGGCAUAUAUUAGGGUGGCCAGGACCUUAAUGCUGCGGUUAUAGAAAUAAAGAAGAAAGUGUGGGAGUCGCACCACGAUCUCUUCCCAGUUAAAGAAAAGACGAUUGCAGAAUCUAAGUUCAAGCUGAAUAGAAUCCACUUGAAGCAAAACGAGAUUCCGCGAGAGUUUUCUUGUCAUCGAUUGGGACUAGUCAAGCUUUGUAAAAGCUUUUGUCUUCUUUGUGCUUCUUCAGGGGCUUGCUGUGCUGGUGCACAGUUUGUUCUUCUUACAAUGAAAUUUAAUUAAGAGGAAUUGGGUUUUGCUGGAAGCUGGUUUAUAUGUUUGUCACGUGUUCCAAGCUGAUUUGUAUGAGGAAUCGGGUUUUUCUUCUGUAAGCAGGAAAGCAUAGAGAUUUCUGGGGAGAGAGACAACAGAAUUUUUUGAUGUAUAUUCAUUUGUCAAACUUUUUCCUUUUUUCAUAUGUAUGCUUGCACAAUCCCAGAGUGAAAGCGUGAUGAUAAGAUGAGAUGUGACAGUGUCCU
Long non-coding RNA from Syzygium oleosum, 1233 nucleotides. RefSeq lists it as uncharacterized. The record is from RefSeq and is a predicted model, not a curated record. The transcript has 7 exons. Lineage: Eukaryota; Viridiplantae; Streptophyta; Magnoliopsida; Myrtales; Myrtaceae.